This 370-nucleotide ribosomal RNA is filed under the name uncultured organism. RNAcentral describes it as "bacterial SSU rRNA". It matches the Rfam family "Bacterial small subunit ribosomal RNA", at positions 528 to 896 of the family's 1533-position model. The record is from RNAcentral.
GGGGGGGCAAGCGUUGUUCGGAAUUACUGGGCGUAAAGGGCUCGUAGGCGGCCAACUAAGUCCGACGUGAAAUCCCCAGGCUUAACCUGGGAACUGCGUCGGAUACUGGAUGGCUUGAAUUCGGGAGAGGGAUGCAGAAUUCCAGGUGUAGCGGUGAAAUGCGUAGAUAUCUGGAGGAAUACCGGUGGCGAGGGCGGCAUCCUGGACCGACAUUGACGCUGAGGAGCGAAAGCUAGGGGAGCAAACGGGAUUAGAUACCCCGGUAGUCCUAGCCCUAAACGAUGAAUGCUUGGUGUGGCGGGUAUCGAUCCCUGCCGUGCCGAAGCUAACGCAUUAAGCAUUCCGCCGGGGGAGUACGGUCGCAAGGCUG